Austrofundulus limnaeus is the source of this 5971-nucleotide long non-coding RNA. RefSeq lists it as uncharacterized. The record is from RefSeq and is a predicted model, not a curated record. NCBI's taxonomy places the organism in Eukaryota, Metazoa, Chordata, Actinopteri, Cyprinodontiformes, Rivulidae. The transcript has 3 exons.
UCUGUGCAGAAGGAGCCAGAGGCAGAGAAGAGGCAGCAGAGGAGCAGCUCUCCUCCUGAGUCUUCAUCCCGGAGAAGACAGAAGGCAGGCGGUCCCACCUCACCGGUCCUGAACUUAAAACCCUCCCAGACGAGCUCAAAAGAACACGAUGUACCGAGAGUGUUUCCUGUGACCGAAGCUGAAGAAAACUGGCUGUCCCGAACGCGCAGGGGUCCUUCAGGAGUUGAUGCGGAGACCUCGCGCCAGCUGGAGCUGCAGCCGUGAUGUUCUGCAGACACCAGAGUUUCACCAAACACAGAGCGCAAACAAGAAAUACACAUUAGCUUCAUACUUGUAGCUUUAAAGAAACCGCUUUCCACAACCAAGCAAAGAUAAAAGCACAAAACAUCUUAUUUUUUAAUCAUGUGCAGGUCAGAUUUCUAAUUAAGAGCACUUUAAAAUAAGAAAUUCAGGUUUUUUUAUGUUUAUCGAGGAACAAAUGUACAAUUAAAACCCCGACAAUCACUGGUUUGUAGUUAAUUUAGCUCAAAUUUGAGCAAAUCAGGAAAUGAUUAGCAACUAAUCAAGACUGGCUUUAAAAUGAAAGAAAGCUGUAAAUUAUAAUUAUUACUCUGAAAAGACAUUCCUAAUAAAUCAUCAUUUGAUAAUUAGUUAUGAUGGUUGAUUACACUGACCACUUUCAGCAUUUUGAGUUUGAUUAUCACCUUUUUUCUUAAAAGGAAUGAAGACUUUGUCGUCAUUCAUAUUCAAGAAACUGAUAAAAACCUUUUGCUGUUCUUUGAAAUAUCACCGGGAGGUUUUACUUAGUUAUUUAUUGCAUUGAUAUGAAGCAACGAGUGGCAUUUACUCCAAUAUUAAAGAAUCAAAAAGGAGCACUCACAAUAAACUUCAGGCUGAGUUUGACUAAAACAACAACCAGUUCAUUCAUGUUCAAAUCAAAGACGACAAUUAGAGAUUUAUAUACAAGAAUAAACACAUCAGUGGUCCAAAAGGUCACAUGUUCAACUCCUUUGAUCAAUAUACUUUUUUUACUUGUAACAAAUUCGACACAAAUAAAAAAAAAACCCACCAAAACCAUGGGGUAUUUUAUUUUCAUGACAGCUAAACUUGUGAAAGAUGCUAAAACUGAGAUGUUAAAUCUAAAAGAACACUAGCUAAAACCUUAGGCACAGUAAAAAAAAAACUAUAAAAGUCAAAAUGCAAGCUAAAAUCUUAAAAUAUCUAAAUGUUUGCUAAAAGUAAUAAAAAGCUAACUAACAUAGCAAAACAAUAAAUGGUAAAACUAGCUAAACGUAACUAUAAGCAGUAAAAAGUUAAACAUAGCAAAGUUAAAAGCCAAAGUAAUGCAGGAGUAUGAAAAACGAAAAGAAGCAAAAGGCUAAACUAGAAGCUAAUAGUAAUGAAUGGUUAAAAGUAGGCGAAAGAUAGCUAAAAAGACAAAGCUAAGAAGACAAAAAUGAGACUGAGGAUGAUGAUCAGAUUUCAAAAAACUUUCUAUGGGAAAAGUCAGAGCACCCACCUCCUGAAAGAGCCGAACAUUUUGAUGUAUAAAUGACUAAAAAUAGCAUAAAUAAUAAAAAAAAAGUAGGAAUCGUAUUUAAACUCCAGUGGUCAACAGGUUUACACUGUUGUUGCUUUUGUGUUUUAAAGAAAAAAAGAAUCUCUUCAUUACAUUAAAUUAUUGUCUCUAAUGUGAUCAUCGAUACUGACCAUUAAAUUUAUCUGUAAUCUCAUACAUUCUGGCCUUUAGCAGCUGCAGCCUGUUCGGUCUCUGUGGAAAGCCCCUGUCUUUCUGCAAUCUGAUUAAAAAGAUUAAAUCUGUUACCUCAUUGCCGGAGCUUUAUCUCACGAGGUCGUUCAGCGGUGCCUCAGCGCCCCCCAUGCUUCCCCUCCCUCCGCAUCCCCACCCUCACUGCACCUACGUUGCAUAAUUAAACUUGAAUUAGAUCAUUAGCAUACAAAGCAGGAAACCUACCGCGGUGGAGUCAUGCAUAUUUAUCUGCACACACUUGUACUGUAACCCCCUUCCUCUUUUCUCCUCACGCAAACACGACGAGCUUUCGAGUGCAGAAAAGGAGCGAACARAAAUCGAUAUUUACCAGAGUGUGUGUCUGGUUUUCAGAGGCAAAUAUUUACCAGCGAGCCAUCUGCAGAAACACACGCCUUUCAUUCAAACAACACUUUAAAUCGCGUGCCUGUAGAAGAAAAAAAACAACAACGGAGCAGAUGUAUUUUGAUUAGGUUCAUCAGAGCAGGUUGCUUUCAGCAUAGCAAAUAUUGCUUACACACAGAGGAAUUUCCCGAAUCCACUAACGCCUGCAGUACAAGCUCAUCUGCUGCACAUAAUCAAACAGAAAAAGACAAACAUGGAGCACCGCCCUAUGAAUAUUAGGUUUCCUCUGCCUCGCUCAUGACUCAUUUCUGUCUCCUUUCCUUGCAUCUUUCCUCUUGAACCAUACUCCCUGCCUCCUCGGGGUCACUUCUUCUCCUCCUUCCAGCUGAGAGAACAACUCCCCCCUUUUCAUGGCUGCUUGGACUCUUAUUAGUAUUCUCCCCUACUUCCCUGCUUCUCCCCCACCUCUCCCCCCCUUCUCUUCCUCCUGUGAGAUUGCUGUUGUGUCUUAUGGCUUUUUAUUCCUACGUGAUGGUAGAUGGGUUCAUGUAGGAGUAGAAGCCACUAAACACGCGGCGAGCGCUCAACAUGCUGGCCGACACGCAGCGAGCUUCCUGUGGAUAUGACAGCUGCCAUGUUCACAUCAAUGUCCUCCUGCCCAUUACCCAGAAUGCCCAUUAGCGCUGAAGAGAAAAGAGAGAGAGUAACUUUCAGACCAAAGUUGCAAAGAAUUUUUAUGAAUGCAGUUAAGUUGGAAUUAAAGACCUAGCACGCAAAUCGCCCGUCAUCCUUAAUGUCUUAAAGCGCCUGUGAYGUGUGUACGCUUUAAAUGCAAAAAGUCCAAGAAAAUAUCUUUAUAUGUAAGAAACGUGGAAUAACACAUGAUUUUACCCAUUUUGCUACAUAACCGGCGUAUUUUCUUUUGAAUUUGGCUCGGUCAAAGUGAAACAGGAAGUGACAUCAAAGGGGAACUCCUUAAGAAAGAGAACUCUUUGAUCUUUGUCCGUAAACAAUAUUACAGUGUUUGAACUCUUACUGUAAUUCAUCUCUCUUUUAUAGUGACUCAAAAUAAUCUAAUAAACAUCAGUCUGUUGGUGUUAUAGCAACGCUCUGUUCUCAUUCAGACAUUCCCCUUUGACAUCACUUCCUGUAACUUCACACGCAAAUAUCUCAGCAACACACACAACGCUUGAAUUUUCCUUUUCAAUAUUUUAUCAAUAUUAUCUGUCCAAAMAUGCAUUUGCAUUUAUUACAAAAAUUUGAUAUCACAGGCACUUUAAUGGGUUAUAGAAUAUUACUGCGUCCUGAAUCGGGUUGACUCCUAAUGACAAUCAGUUGUAGAUCCAGUGAUUAUUUCCUGAAAGUUUUCUUAAAAUCUGUCGAGUGGUUAAUGUUAGAUAUAAAUAAGGCAAGUAAGAUAUUUUGUAACAGACACACAGCAAAGAUCUAAAACAUUGUACUUUCAGUGGCCGGCGAUGAUUUUACAURACUGAUGACUUUAUAUGUUAAAGGGGUUGAAUUUGGAUAUAAUUUGAGCAAAAUAUUCUGGAUUUUUACUUGAUUUUUCUGCAUGUGUCUUGACUUUUAAGACUAAUUCCUUCAUUCUUUUGCCCUGUGCUCUCUGAAAAAUAAAUCUUCAUGAUAGAAAUAAAAGCAGUGACACGGAAAGGUCAUAAUCAGUUCUGACUCACACAACUAGAAUAUAAAACUGACAUAGUAAUUAUUUUUAAUUUAACUUGUCAAACAAAAAUAAACAUCACGUAUUUAGAAAAACAGGUUUAAGUUUUUUUUAAAUAUUUAAACAGUGAUUUGAAAGAGUUCUGUUUGUAAUGUGAGGCUUCGUCGAUGCAAAUCGGUUAGCUUUAAGAAGAAUUAAAGUUUACUUGUUUAAAAAUAGAGGUGCAUUGAAUGUUUCAAAUCAAGAUUUAAAUGAAUUAAUCUAAAAUACAUUCAUGUUCUUCUUGUUCAUAUAUGAACAAGUUAAAAUUCAAUUAAUGUAUCUUGAACGCCUUUAAACCUUAAAUUGGACUGAUUUACUCAGAUUGUAGUGAUUCUAACACAUUAAAUAAAAAGUUUAGCAUCAUGUAUGAAAGUAGACACCAAAAUGAAGUUAAAGAAAAAACAAAAUUGAAUGAAAAGGAGGGUUUUUUCUUUAAAUCUUGCAGCAAGGAUCUUAAACUGUCUCCGUCACUAAAAAGUAAAGUGAACUCGGUUGUUUGAAUCUAAAAAUAUUUCAGGUUUUAUCCAACGGAUUCGAAAGAUGUUUCUCAAAAACACAAAAAGAAAAGUAGCUAAAAGUACUAAAUUUAAGAUCAAAUGAAUAAUUCAAACACCCCAAAUUUCAUUUUCCCGAGUGUACACUAAUUUCUAUUUUAAUUUAUACAACAGAAAUUUUGUUUUCCAGUAGUGAAGGAUAAAACAUCAGCAGUUUGUUUUUUUUACCCCACAGCCUGAAUUAAACUUGAUUGGGACAGCUGCACCAAAAUUAUUUUUGCAAUAAUCUAGCAUAUUUGAGGCGUUUCCCUGAAGCUCUAGAAUUUAAUAUGCUCGUCGCCAAAACAAAAAACAAACAAACAAAAAAAGAAAGUAAGAAAAAAAAAGAGAUAUUUACUUUCCCAAAUCAGCAAGUAUUACUGUCUUGGAACCAAUUUUCCUGUAAAUCUUCAAACCUGGAAACUGUGACUCAUUUCACAGCAGGACGCUGCUGAAAGUUCGCCUCUAAUCGUGUGCUAUCCAUCAGCACUAACUCACGCCUGAGUUGAACUCKGUGUCAACUAAUUAAGCAAGAAAUUCAAAUGAUCCUGCUGGUGGGUCCACGUGGGUGCUGCGAGGCUUUGGGCUUUAAAUGUCAACUCUCUGUUUGUAUUUGCGCUGAAAUGAGCUCUCCUCGCCUCACGCAGGAUCUGAAUAAAAAGCCUAAAUAGGCUAAACCCCCUCCUGUCUCCCCUAAAAGGAGAAAAAAAGUGAAUUAUUAAUCUGUGGAUAUUACAAGAAUCUGACACAUGUUUGCAAUUGUGGGACAUUACAUCGGCACUGAUAUGAGGGGCGUAAUAAUUCAAGAUGAAAUUGAAAUAGAUGAGGUCUGUGGAAGUGUAAUGAUUUAUUUAGGGCUGUUGUGAUCUAAUAUUCAGUGGGAGGGUUGAGAAGUUUCUCAUGCUUGCAUUAUCAGUUUAAUUUAUUUUUCAGGGUUCCCACUCCCACAUUAGCUUUUUUUUCCCUUCUUCUCUCCUUCCUCCUUUUUUUUUAAUCAAGUCACGAGGGGGUCUGAGAGAAUAGUCGAACAGGAGGAGAGGCUGAGGAAGGAUUCGAUUUUUUUUUAAACCCUGCGGGGGGUCCACAGGAACCUCUAGGUGGGAAUCAGCCGUGAUGGCAUCAACAGGAAAGAGCCUGCAUUAUUUAAAAACACAGGGAAAAACUAGACAGAUUGACAUUUUAUUUUUCUUCCUCGUGCCAGCCAACAAAACUUAACCUCACUUUCCCUGAAGACGUCAAAAUGAUUAGUGAUAGAAGACAGACAGCAGAGCCUCGUUUUCAUUUUCCCCCCAAAUUAUCGCUGUCACGACUCCUCGACUUAUGAUGGAAUACAAGGUCACAGAAUCCUCAAGCUCAGGUACGAAACACGAACAUCAUCCACUCUGGCAUAAUGGGAUUUUCCUCUGACAGCUGCAAUAACGCGGCGUGUUUGUGUACAGUAGGUUUAAUGUAUGAGCGUUGUUCUACUUUAUCUACCCCCAUCCCCCUUUCCUCAGGCUCCACUUUGAUUUUCCUGUAAUAAAUAAUGCUCUUUUGUCUUUCUGUGCUUGAUUUGUUCCCAGCUGUAAUCUCACUAUACUGCUCAAUAAAUUAUGAAUAAUCCUG